Molecule: ribosomal RNA, 569 nt
Filed under: uncultured bacterium
Lineage: Bacteria
Description: bacterial SSU rRNA
Rfam family: Bacterial small subunit ribosomal RNA
Source: RNAcentral
AGUGGCGGACGGGUGAGUAACGCGUGAGGAACCUACCUUACAGUGGGGAAUAACAGUUGGAAACGGCUGCUAAUACCGCAUAAUGCAAAGAGACCGCAUGAUCUUUUUGUCAAAGAUUUAUCGCUGUAAGAUGGCCUCGCGUCUGAUUAGCUAGUUGGUGGGGUAAAGGCCCACCAAGGCGACGAUCAGUAGCCGGACUGAGAGGUUGACCGGCCACAUUGGGACUGAGAUACGGCCCAGACUCCUACGGGAGGCAGCAGUGGGGAAUAUUGGGCAAUGGGCGAAAGCCUGACCCAGCAACGCCGCGUGAAGGAAGAAGGCUUUCGGGUUGUAAACUUCUUUUAACAGGGACGAUAAUGACGGUACCUGUUGAAUAAGCUCCGGCUAACUACGUGCAGCAGCCGCGGUAAUACGUAGGGAGCAAGCGUUAUCCGGAUUUACUGGGUGUAAAGGGCGUGUAGGCGGGACUACAAGUCAGAUGUGAAAAUUAUGGGCUCAACCCAUAACCUGCAUUUGAAACUGUGGUUCUUGAGUGCUGGAGAGGCAAAUGGAACUCCUAGUGUAGCGGU